UAUACGACCGUACCGCAAACCGACACUGGUGCGCGAGAUGAGUAUUCUAAGGCGCUUGAGAGAACUCAGGAGAAGGAACUCGGCAAAUUGACACCGUAACUUCGGAAGAAGGUGUGCCCUAUUAGUGUGUAGUGAACAACGAAGCAUGAAUGGGUUGCAAAAAAUCGGUGGCUGCGACUGUUUAUUAAAAACACAGCACUCUGCAAACACGAAAGUGGACGUAUAGGGUGUGACGCCUGCCCGGUGCUGGAAGAUUAAAUGAUGGGGUGCAAGCUCUUGAUUGAAGUCCCAGUAACGGCGGCCGUAACAAUAACGGUCCUAAGGUAGCGAAAUUCCUUGUCGGGUAAGUUCCGACCUGCACGAAUGGCGUAACGAUGGCCACACUGUCUCCUCCUGAGACUCAGCGAAGUUGAAAUGUUUGUGAUGAUGCAAUCUCCCCGCGGAAAGACGGAAAGACCCCAUGAACCUUUACUGUAGCUUUGUAUUGGACUUUGAACAGAUCUGUGUAGGAUAGGUGGGAGGCUUUGAAGCAGGGUCGCUAGAUCUUGUGGAGCCAACGUUGAAAUACCACCCUGGUGUGUUUGAGGUUCUAACCUAGGUCCAUUAUCUGGAUCGGGGACAGUGCAUGGUAGGCAGUUUGACUGGGGCGGUCUCCUCCCAAAGCGUAACGGAGGAGUUCGAAGGUACGUUAGUUACGGUCGGACAUCGUGACGAUAGUGCAAUGGCAUAAGCGUGCUUAACUGCGAGACUGACAAGUCGAGCAGAUGCGAAAGCAGGACAUAGUGAUCCGGUGGUUCUGUAUGGAAGGGCCAUCGCUCAACGGAUAAAAGGUACUCUGGGGAUAACAGGCUGAUACCGCCCAAGAGUUCAUAUCGACGGCGGUGUUUGGCACCUCGAUGUCGGCUCAUCUCAUCCUGGGGCUGUAGCCGGUCCCAAGGGUAUGGCUGUUCGCCAUUUAAAGAGGUACGUGAGCUGGGUUUAAAACGUCGUGAGACAGUUUGGUCCCUAUCUUCCGUGGGCGCUGCAGAUUUGAGGAAGCCUGCUCCUAGUACGAGAGGACCGGAGUGGACACACCUCUGGUGUAUCGGUUGUCACGCCAGUGGCAUUGCCGAGUAGCUAAGUGUGGAAGAGAUAACCGCUGAAAGCAUCUAAGCGGGAAACUCGUUUCAAGAUGAGAUCUGCCGGGGCCUUGAGCCCCCUAAAGAGUCGUUCAAGACCAGGACGUUGAUAGGUCAGGUGUGGAAGCGAAAAAAAU
This 1255-nucleotide ribosomal RNA is filed under the name metagenome. RNAcentral describes it as "bacterial LSU rRNA". It matches the Rfam family "Bacterial large subunit ribosomal RNA", at positions 1635 to 2883 of the family's 2925-position model. The record is from RNAcentral.